This 524-nucleotide unclassified non-coding RNA is filed under the name Hevea brasiliensis (rubber tree). The record is from RNAcentral. Lineage: Eukaryota; Viridiplantae; Streptophyta; Magnoliopsida; Malpighiales; Euphorbiaceae.
GUCGUUAGGACUUAACGGAAAGUAAGUGUGCUAUGUUCUCUAAUCAGCUAGUCUAUGUUUCAACGAUUACUAAAUGAAGUUGCAAGCUUACCGUUUCCUCUCUUAAAUAUAUGUAUGAACCUCUUCAUAUGUUUCUGUUUUUGUUCUUUCAUAAUUCUGUGCUGAGAUUUGCUUAUUUACAAUUGUAAUUAACCAUAGGAUUGUGGCAAUGUUUGGAUGGCAUUUCAUUAAUGUUGUUCUUACUUCACUUGCUGUUUUGGCAUUUCCUGAAUACUAAAUAUAAAGGGCAAUUAGAGAACAAAAUUUAGUUAUCAAGUUACUGGCUUACUGGCAAUGGCAACUGGUAGCAUUCAUGGCAACAGUGCGUGGUGUCAAUUGUGGCAGUGUUGAUAAUGGUGUAGUGGUCUUACCGGCCUCUUUGUCUGUUUUCUGCUUCAAUUCUUUGUCUUUGUAUAUGCCCAUUCAUUUUUGUGAUGUGUGGUUUAAUCUCUUUCUUUCUCUUUCUCUGUGUGUGUGUGUGUGUG